UUGAACGCUGGCGGCAUGCUUUACACAUGCAAGUCGGGCGGCAGCGCGGGGGCAACCCUGGCGGCGAGCGGCGAACGGGUGAGUAACAUAUCGGAACGUACCCAGACGUGGGGGACAACUAGUCGAAAGACUAGCUAAUACCGCAUACGCCCUGAGGGAGAAAGCGGGGGAUCGCAAGACCUCGCGAGUUUGGAGCGGCCGAUAUCUGAUUAGCUAGAUGGUGGGGUAAAGGCCCACCAUGGCGACGAUCAGUAGCUGGUCGGAGAGGAUGAUCAGCCACACGGGAACUGAGACACGGUCCAGACUCCGACGGGAGGCAGCAGUGGGGAAUUUUGGACAAUGGGGGAAACCCUGAUCCAGCCAUUCCGCGUGAGUGAAGAAGGCCUUCGGGUUGUAAAGCUCUUUCGGCAGGAACGAAACGGCGGAAUCUAAUACAUUCCACUAAUGACGGUACCUGAAGAAGAAGCACCGGCUAACUACGU
Molecule: ribosomal RNA, 482 nt
Filed under: uncultured bacterium
Lineage: Bacteria
Description: bacterial SSU rRNA
Rfam family: Bacterial small subunit ribosomal RNA
Source: RNAcentral